RNAcentral lists this ribosomal RNA (253 nucleotides) under uncultured bacterium. Its description in RNAcentral is "partial 16S ribosomal RNA". It matches the Rfam family "Bacterial small subunit ribosomal RNA", at positions 524 to 776 of the family's 1533-position model. The record is from RNAcentral.
UACGUAGGGCGCAAGCGUUGUCCGGAAUUAUUGGGCGUAAAGAGCUCGUAGGCGGCUUGUCACGUCGAUUGUGAAAGCCCGAGGCUUAACCUCGGGUCUGCAGUCGAUACGGGCUAGCUAGAGUGUGGUAGGGGAGAUCGGAAUUCCUGGUGUAGCGGUGAAAUGCGCAGAUAUCAGGAGGAACACCGGUGGCGAAGGCGGAUCGCUGGGCCAUUACUGACGCUGAGGAGCGAAAGCGUGGGGAGCGAACAGG